RNAcentral lists this small nucleolar RNA (122 nucleotides) under Echinops telfairi (small Madagascar hedgehog). RNAcentral's name for it is "Small nucleolar RNA SNORA61 (ENSETEG00000024094.1)". Lineage: Eukaryota; Metazoa; Chordata; Mammalia; Afrosoricida; Tenrecidae. The record is from RNAcentral.
ACCCAUCUAGAUUCCUUACCCAUCAGAUCUCAACACUGGUCUGAUUGGUUAUAAGAGGAGGAAACAUAAAAUCAAAAUUGAGCUAAAUUCUUUUGUGACGCAUGAGCUAGUUUCAAACAGAA